UCCACCUUAUUUUUUUUUUUUUGCUUUUUUUUUUAUAUACAUAUGGGUAUUUUGUUUGCUUGUACAUCUGUGCACUGUAUUCGUGCAGCCCUUGCAGCGGCCAGAAGAGGGCAUCAGAUUCCCGGGGAACUGGAGUUACAGAUGCUUGUCAGCCACUAUGUGGGUUCUGGGAAUGGAACCUAGAUCCUCUGGAAGCACAGCCAGUACUCUUAACCGCUAAACCAUCUCUCCGACCCUCCACCCUAUUUAUUGAGUCUGUGUCUUUCCACAGAGUCCCUUGACAGGCCGGACAGCAAGCCCCAUAUUCACAUGUAUCUAACUCCUCAGCACAGGGUUCCAGCAUGAGCCAGUGCUCUGCCUGAGGGGGUGAACCCAGGUCCUCGAGGCUGCCCAGCCGGCCCUCUCCUCAGCCCUGCAUCACAAUUCUUAAGUUCAUUCUCUGAGGAUCUGUUGAAUGCAAACACAAGCCGUGUUCUGUCUGUCUGAGACAGGGUCUCUCUAUAUAGCCCAGAUUGGAAUUUAUUGUCCCCCUGCAUCAGCCUCCACAGGCUAAAAUUAUUGCUGUGUGCCAACAGGUUUAAGCAAUCAUUUUUGUUUCGGUUACUGAGUUAAUACUUAAACCUUUAAGUUGUGCUG
Molecule: long non-coding RNA, 636 nt
Filed under: Rattus norvegicus (Norway rat)
Lineage: Eukaryota; Metazoa; Chordata; Mammalia; Rodentia; Muridae
Description: long non-coding RNA NONRATT005526
Source: RNAcentral